AUUGAACGCUGGCGGCAGGCCUAACACAUGCAAGUCGAACGGUAACAGGAAGCAGCUUGCUGCUUUGCUGACGAGUGGCGGACGGGUGAGUAAUGUCUGGGAAACUGCCUGAUGGUGGGGGAUAACUACUGGAAACGGUAGCUAAUACCGCAUAACGUCGCAAGACCAAAGAGGGGGACCUUCGGGCCUCUUGCCAUCGGAUGUGCCCAGAUGGGAUUAGCUAGUAGGUGGGGUAACGGCUCACCUAGGCGACGAUCCCUAGCUGGUCUGAGAGGAUGACCAGCCACACUGGAACUGAGACACGGUCCAGACUCCUACGGGAGGCAGCAGUGGGGAAUAUUGCACAAUGGGCGCAAGCCUGAUGCAGCCAUGCCGCGUGUAUGAAGAAGGCCUUCGGGUUGUAAAGUACUUUCAGCGGGGAGGAAGGGAGUAAAGUUAAUACCUUUGCUCAUUGACGUUACCCGCAGAAGAAGCACCGGCUAACUCCGUG
Molecule: ribosomal RNA, 490 nt
Filed under: uncultured bacterium
Lineage: Bacteria
Description: partial 16S ribosomal RNA
Rfam family: Bacterial small subunit ribosomal RNA
Source: RNAcentral